Molecule: ribosomal RNA, 465 nt
Filed under: Vreelandella stevensii
Lineage: Bacteria; Pseudomonadati; Pseudomonadota; Gammaproteobacteria; Oceanospirillales; Halomonadaceae
Description: partial 16S ribosomal RNA
Rfam family: Bacterial small subunit ribosomal RNA
Source: RNAcentral
CCUACGGGGUGCAGCAGUGGGGAAUAUUGGACAAUGGGCGAAAGCCUGAUCCAGCCAUGCCGCGUGUGUGAAGAAGGCCUUCGGGUUGUAAAGCACUUUCAGUGGGGAAGAAAGCCUUGGGGCUAAUACCCUCGAGGAAGGACAUCACCCACAGAAGAAGCACCGGCUAACUCCGUGCCAACAGCCGCGGUAAUACGGAGGGUGCGAGCGUUAAUCGGAAUUACUGGGCGUAAAGCGCGCGUAGGCGGUCUGAUAAGCCGGUUGUGAAAGCCCCGGGCUCAACCUGGGAACGGCAUCCGGAACUGUCAGGCUAGAGUGCAGGAGAGGAAGGUAGAAUUCCCGGUGUAGCAGUGAAAUGCGUAGAGAUCGGGAGGAAUACCAGUGGCGAAGGCGGCCUUCUGGACUGACACUGACGCUGAGGUGCGAAAGCGUGGGUAGCAAACAGGAUUAGAUACCCCAGUAGUC